AGUCGAACGGUGAAGCAUAAGCUUGCUUCUGUGGAUCAGUGGCGAAAGGGUGAGUAACGCGUGAGUAACGUGCCCUCAAGUUGGGAAUAACCUUCCGAAAGGAAGGCUAAUACCGAAUGUGGUUAUUUUAUCGCAUGUUAAAAUAACUAAAGAUUUAUUGCUUGGGGAUCGGCUCGCGUCCAAUUACGCUUGUUGGUGAGGUAACGGCUCACCAAGGCUAUGACGGGUAGGUGGUCUAAGAGGAUGGUCACCCACACUGGGACUGAGACACUGCCCAGACUCCUACGGGAGGCUGCAGUCGAGAAUCUUCCGCAAUGGGCGAAAGCCUGACGGAGCAAUGCCGCGUGUAGGAUGAAGGCCCUUGGGUUGUAAACUACUGUCACCGGGGAUGAAUAUUGACAGUACCCGGAGAGGAAGCCACGGCUAACUACGUGCCAGCAGCCGCGGUAAUACGUAGGUGGCGAGCGUUGUUCGGAUUUAUUGGGCGUAAAGGGUUCGUAGGGGGUUAUCUAAGUCUGAUGUGAAAGCCCGCGGCUCAACCGCGGAACUGCAUUGGAAACUGGGUAACUUGAGGAUCGGAGAGGAGAGUGGAAUUCCGGGAGUAGCGGUGGAAUGCGUAGAUAUCCGGAAGAACACCGACAGCGAAGGCAGCUCUCUGGACGAUUCCUGACCCUGAGGGACGAAAGCGUGGGUAGCAAACAGGAUUAGAUACCCUGGUAGUCCACGCCG
Molecule: ribosomal RNA, 729 nt
Filed under: uncultured organism
Description: bacterial SSU rRNA
Rfam family: Bacterial small subunit ribosomal RNA
Source: RNAcentral